UGCCAUAGCUUUUGGUUGCACCACAUCGGAAGUAAAUAAAAUACCCUAAAUAAUAAAACCUGACCGGGUUUCAAUAUUGACUGCAAGCUAAAAAUAUCGAGAGAGGGAAAAUUUAGUUGACAAGGAUAAGAAGUAAAGAAUCCAGGACAUUUGUCCAAAGAUGGCAAAACCCACGAAGUUUGUUAUGGAUUUCUUCAGAGGUCGAACUGUCUAUGCUCAGGCUGCAGCUGUUGGUACAGUUCUAACUUUAUUGAAGCUGCACAUAGAAGACUUACAUUACAGGGUUGAAACUAAGGCAUCUCAAUUAUGUGCCAGACGAUGGCUGAAUCGCGGGAAUCAGUAGCCUCAAGAGAAUCUUUGUUAUUUUAGAAGAAACUUUAUGUAUUGCUAAUGAUAUAAAAAUUAAAUUAAAUGUUUAUAAAGUGAU
Long non-coding RNA from Magallana angulata, 427 nucleotides. RefSeq lists it as uncharacterized. The record is from RefSeq and is a predicted model, not a curated record. The transcript has 4 exons. Lineage: Eukaryota; Metazoa; Mollusca; Bivalvia; Ostreida; Ostreidae.